AAUCGCUGCCCUCGGGGCCUCCAGCGCCGGCUCUGGGCAGAGGCAGCCAGAGCGCAGAAGAGGCCUGGAAAUCCACGCGGAUUCCCGGAGACGGCGCCUCUGCUCUGCGGGUUCGUGGCGAGGAAGUCCACCCACUGCUCCCGGGCGCAGGUCUGCAGGUCCGCGCCCACUGCCCGCGGCGCCACUGACCAUGUCGGGGUCAUCCUCUCGAAGGUGUUCGAUGAAGUCAUUGAAGUGAAUCUAAUCGAUAGUGCAGACUACAUCCACCUGGCCUUUCUGAAGAGACCUGAGCUCGGGCUCACCCUCACCAAGCUUCACUGUUGGACUCUCACUCACUACAGCAAGUGUGUCUUCCUGGAUGCAGACACUCUGGUGCUGUCCAAUGUCGAUGAGCUGUUUGACAGGGGAGAGUUUUCUGCGGCCCCGGACCCCGGAUGGCCGGAUUGCUUCAAUAGCGGGGUGUUUGUCUUCCAGCCUUCUCUCCACACGCAUAAACUCCUGCUGCAGCACGCCAUGGAGCACGGCAGCUUUGAUGGGGCGGACCAAGGCUUACUGAAUAGUUUCUUCAGGAACUGGUCAACCACAGACAUCCACAAGCACCUGCCGUUCAUCUAUAAUUUGAGUAGUAACACUAUGUACACUUACAGCCCUGCCUUCAAGCAAUUCGGUUCCAGUGCAAAGGUCGUCCACUUUUUGGGGUCCAUGAAACCUUGGAACUACAAGUACAAUCCACAGAGUGGCUCGGUGUUGGAGCAGGGCUCAGCGUCCAGCAGCCAGCACCAGGCGGCAUUCCUUCAUCUCUGGUGGACGAUCUACCAGAACAACGUGUUGCCCCUGUAUAAAAGCGUCCAAGCGGGGGAAGCACGUGCGUCUCCUGGUCACACACUUUGCCUCAGUGAUGUGGGGGUGCCGUGUGCAGAUUCAGCGUCUGGUGUUGAAGAGCCGUGUGAAAAUUCAACACCCAGUGCCGGCGUGCCGUGUGCAAAUUCACCACUGGGUUCUAACCAGCCUGAGCAGGCUCAGGGCCUUCUGGAGCCGACCCAGAUAGUGGAUGAGACCCUGUCCCUACCUGAAGGACGCCGUUCAGAAGAUGUCGACCUGGCCGUCUCUGUUUCCCAGAUCUCCAUCGAAGAGAAGAUGAAGGAAUUGAGCCCCGAGGAGGAGAGGAGGAAGUGGGAGGAAGGCCGUAUCGACUACAUGGGGAAGGACGCGUUUGCUCGCAUCCAGGAGAAGCUGGACCGGUUCCUGCAGUAAUCUGGCAGCUGGUGGGCGUUGUGUGUAGUUAGACAAUGUCCUGUUGGGUGAUCCUGUUGUGUGGAGAUCUCCUCUGGUCCUUUCAAAGGGAAACGCUGUUGAACCUUGUGCCUCUAUUUAUGCUUAAUCCAUUUGAGUGCCUCAUACAAAAAACGUAGAAUAUAGAAAUCCACCUUAAAGCCCCUCGCCCCAACCCCUCCACCAAUGCCUUCUGGGCUUUCUUCAGAGGUCAGGUCUACCCUUGAACCUGUCAGCAAAAGCGAGCAGUAAUAACAUUCUAGUAGACCCUUGAUGGUGGUCUCUGCUCUUGCCCGAAGGACCUCUGAAGUACGCUGGAGCUGUGUUGUACAGGUGCUAUGAGACCUACCCUAUUUAGAAUUAAACCUCACUGCAAAUUUCCUCCCAUCACUAAGCUAACAACACUAAUAUACGUAUUUAGCACCUCUGAGGCUUUGCCGUGGAGACCCAUUUCUGUAGGGCUAAGGAAACAUUUAGACGUGGUGACUGACUUUCAUUUGGACUUGGCGAAGCGUAUCUGAGAAACACCUCGGCUGUGGUCUCUCUGCUUUAAAUCCUAACAGGACUUCCUAGAGCGUUGACAGAAAUUCUACUUGUGGACGUUGGGAAGAAAGAUUGUAGGUGGCUUGGGGGAUGUAGGUGGCUUAGAGGAUCUAAACCGAUUCACUUCCUGGUUGAGAAGAAUCAAGGGCUUGCCCCUAAACGAUUUAGAGCAACAACUUGCUCAGGAUAACAGGAUCUAGAGAUGCUCUCUGCUUGACAACAAAAGUCAGGGUGCAGUCGGUCCACCCUUGACUGCUCUUGGCUUGGUCUCUACCCUCACUACCUCAGUUCUCAUUAACUUAGUGACUCACUGCCCUCCUCAAAGCCAUUUCCACUCAGCUCUUUCCAGAGAAUUCUCAGUUUUAUGAGACGGGAAACUUUAUUUCACGAGAAAGCCUCAUUGUCAGAAGUAUCUUCAUUCAAUGGGCACAAUAUGCUGUGUAUCUCACCAGGUGGCUGUCAGGGGCCACCGAGAGUGUCGUUAAAAAUGGGCAUCGUUGUAAUAAAGGAGGAAAGUGCGAUUUUGAAAUGUGUGGAAGGUUUAUUUAUCAUGCACGUUCCAGGGAAAAGCAGAGAGUAAAUUAGAGAUGGGAUAGGAAGGCCGUGGGAGAACUCGAUCCUAGCCUGUGUCAGCUAGAUGUGUUUACGUGGAGAGGAGUGGCCACUUUUUAGGUCACCUGAAGCAGUUUAGCCUUUGGAUAGAGGAACCUGCCUCAAUUUAUGGCAUUAGUUGUGGCAUUUUUGUGUGUGCAAGAUGUGGGUGAUGGAGGGGCUGUUUCUUUUUCCGUGUGGGUGGUUAAUAAUCUUCAGUCUCAGAGGGCGAUGCUCAUAGGAUAUUUCAGGGGUUAAUUUAAAAUAGCCAUAUGGAUACAGUCUCAGGUGAGUCAGGGUUGGAUGGUCAUCGGCUUUCAGAGGGAGACCACGGGAAUGUUCAGGGAAAAAUUGUCAGCUUCUCUGAGGACCAGAAUUCAUGUUCACGGGCAGUGAUGACUUGGCUUAUGGAGUGAGUCCAGUCUGGAAUUCCGGCGUGCAUUCUAGCCUGUAUCAUCUCAUUUGGACAAAUGCUGGCACGUUUAAAUUAAAAUGUUGAAAAAC
This 2910-nucleotide small RNA is filed under the name Pongo abelii (Sumatran orangutan). Its description in RNAcentral is "processed transcript". The record is from RNAcentral. Lineage: Eukaryota; Metazoa; Chordata; Mammalia; Primates; Hominidae.